RNAcentral lists this long non-coding RNA (730 nucleotides) under Scleropages formosus (Asian bonytongue). RNAcentral's name for it is "lncRNA (ENSSFOG00015029215.1)". The record is from RNAcentral. Lineage: Eukaryota; Metazoa; Chordata; Actinopteri; Osteoglossiformes; Osteoglossidae.
GCUCCGGGAUGGGCAGUAGCGCAUCACCGCUGGCACUUCUGCUUACUCUCGUGUGCUUUUUAGAGCGAAAAACACUUAAAAUCAAACGUCAGUUUUACUGCUCUGAAACUGUGCAUAUGAAAUUCGGAUUGUACACCGUCACGUCACAAGUUCGAAGCAGUUCCUUGUGAAAAAGCAUGUUCUUACCCUGCCCUGCUGGGUUGUGAACACGAGAAGAGCAGAAAAAAAGCAGCGGCCGCGGAGACACUUGUCACUUCAGCGGAUUCACACCAUUAGCCUUCAUACGACCCAUUUCCUAAAUACUAGUCAAGUACACGGCAAGUAGUAGUAGUAGUGAUCUUUCUCUGAAAGCAACGUUCAUACUAAAAAGCAGCAGUAUGGUCAAAAACUUUUUGGAACUUGAUGACUUUUAUUUGUCAACGAUAUAUUCACACUGGAAAGCUUCAUCUGAGGGAGUCUCAUAAAGGUGAAAGAGCCACACCUGGUGCUCGUUUCCACCUAUCAAGCCCCCAUAUCCCGCCGCCCCCCAGUUCCAGACAGAGCCAAGUGCAGAGCAACCAAUAUCAAGACAUUUUCAUACCCCAGUGCAGCAAGUGCGAUAUGACAAGUGGGAGAUGAACAUGGAAUCAGAUGCUGUGUUUUUUUUUUUUUUUUUUUUUUUUUCUCUCAAAGCUUUCUAGGCUUCUUUGAAAGAUGUUUCUGGUUUAAUUUAGCAUUUUUCUCUUUGGCA